Molecule: ribosomal RNA, 1853 nt
Filed under: human gut metagenome
Description: bacterial LSU rRNA
Rfam family: Bacterial large subunit ribosomal RNA
Source: RNAcentral
CCGGGGAACUGAAACAUCUAAGUACCCGGAGGAGAGGAAAUCAAUCUCGAGACUCCCCGAGUAGCGGCGAGCGAAAGGGGACCGAUGGCCAAACCGUCGAGCGGGCAUACCCGGCAGGGGUUCCGCCGACGGGGUUGCAGGGCCGCGCAUCCGGGGGCUGCCGCCCCCGGGCGCAGGUCCGGCUGGGGAGCGGAACGGCAUGGGAGGGCCGGCCGCAGCGGGUGACAGCCCCGUACGCGAACCCAGACCGGACGGCGCGACGCGGUCCCUGAGUAGGGCCGGGCACGUGAAACCCGGUCCGAACCUGGGUGGACCACCAUCCAAGCCUGAGUACUACCCUGUGACCGAUAGCGCACCAGUACCGUGAGGGAAAGGUGAAAAGCACCCCGGGAGGGGAGUGAAACAGUACCUGAAACCGUGCGCCCACGAGCAGUCGGAGCAGCCUUCGGGCUGUGACGGCGUGCCUUUUGUAGAAUGAGCCAGCGAGUCGCUGGCGCGGGGCGAGGUUAACCGAAAGGGAGCCGGAGCGAAAGCGAGCCUUAACAGGGCGACUUGAGUCCCGCGCCGCGGACGCGAAGCCGGGUGAGCUAUCCGUGGGCAGGCUGAAGCGGGGGUAAGACCCCGUGGAGGGCCGAACGCACGUCGGUUGAAAACGGCGGCGAUGACCUGCGGAUAGGGGUGAAAGGCCAAUCAAACCCGGAGAUAUCUCGUUCUCCCCGAAAUAGCUUUAGGGCUAGCGUCGCGCGUUCACCGCCGGAGGUAGAGCACCGGAUGGACGAGGGGGCUUCGCCGCCUACCGAAUCCAACCGAACUCCGAAUGCCGGCGGCCCAGAGCGCGGCAGUCAGAGCAUGUGGGCUAAGCUGUGUGCUCGAGAGGGAAACAGCCCGGACCGCCCGCUAAGGUCCCCAAGUUCCAGCCGAGUGGCAAAGGAUGUGCGUCCGCCCAGACAACCAGGAUGUUGGCUUAGAAGCAGCCAUGCAUUCAAAGAGUGCGUAACAGCUCACUGGUCGAGUGGACAUGCGCCGACAAUACACGGGGCUAAGCUGGACACCGAAGCGGCGGGAUUUUAAUUCAUUAGAAUCGGUAGGGGAGCUUCCCAUGGGCGGAGAAGCCGGAGGGCGACCGACGGUGGAGCGCAUGGGAGUGAGAAUGCUGGCAUGAGUAGCGAGAGACGAGAGAGUAACUCGUCCGCCGUGAACCCGAGGUUUCCUGGGCAAGGCUAAUCCUCCCAGGGUCAGUCGGGGGCUAAGGCGAGGCCGGGAGGCGUAGCCGACGCGCAGCAGGCAGACAUUCCUGCACCGCGCACGCGGCGCUACGACCGACGGGGCGACGGAUGGGGGUGGCUCGGCGGGGUUCUGGACGUCCCCGUGAUGGAGCGCGGCCCGCGGACCAGGGAAAUCCGGUCCGCACGAGGGCGAGGCUCCGGACGAAGCACUUAAGCGAAGCGAGUGAGCCCGAGGUCCCUAGAAAAACCCCUAGGCAGGCGCGUGCGCGCCCGUACCGCAAACCGACACAGGUGGGUGGGUAGAACAUACCGAGGCGAUCGGGUCAACCAUGGUCAAGGAACUCGGCACAAUGGCCCCGUAACUUCGGGAGAAGGGGUGCCCGCGCGUACGUGAACCGGCUCGCCCGGGGAGCGGAGGCGGGCCGCAGUGGAGAGGCCCAAGCGACUGUUUACCAAAAACACAGGACUCUGCAGAAGCCGCAAGGCGACGUAUAGGGUCUGACGCCUGCCCGGUGCCGGAAGGUCACGCGGAGGAGUUAGCCGUUAAGGCGAAGCCCCGAAGCCAAGCCCCGGUAAACGGCGGCCGUAACUAUAACGGUCCUAAGGUAGCGAAAUUCCUUGUCGGGU